GUCCAGCUGCACUGGCACGGGGCUGCCUUCCCUGUGAGGCUCCACAGCCCCGCACCUGCUGUGACUGCUGGGGGACAGCCUCAGGUCAUGUACUUCUGGGAGCAGAAACGAGAGGUGUGGGGGCUCAAGAGGACGACCAGCAAUUCUCUCCAGAAAGCGAAAGAAAGGAGACUGAGGCAAUCCUAGUUGGCCAAACCUCAGAUCUGAGAACCCUAAGACGCAGCAAGUAUUUCAGUGGGAAUUGAAAAUAUUUAGCUGCUGAUUGUACACUCCCUGGCCUCAGUGCUGGUCAUAGUUUGAACAAAACUGCUAAACGUUCCUUGAAUACACGCUUCCUCUUUUUGUCCUCAUGUCGUUGUCCUCGUCACUGAACACUGGUGCUUGGAAGAACAAAUCUUGUUUCCUUUUCGGCUACUCCGUAUGUUUCCCGUUGUAAAAUGUUGAUCCCCUGGAGCCUGUGGUGGGCAGUGGCGCCAUCAGAGUAGUUUACCUUCAGUUUUAAGAUGUUCGCACACGUCCGGCAGCAGCCGCCACGGUCUUGUUCUUGGGUGCACAGCUCUGGCCUUAGGCCUGUGUGUGUCUCACUGCAGAAAGGUGGGGUAAGACUGUCUAGUCUGUGUUGAAUUUAUCUCUUGAAUAAACUUGUUUCUGGUUAACCGUAUUGAUGAAAUCUGAGAGAGUCCGUUCUAGCCCUCGUAACACUUCAAAGAGGGUCAGCAGGCAGAUUAGAAACAAAUGUCUGAUCUGGACAAGGUGGGUUUCAGAGCUGCUAGAAUAACAGCAGGGGGAGAUUUUUGACUACCCUCUUUCCAGACUCAGUGGUGAAGGGGCACGCUGCACUUUUCUGAGUGGACAUGAGGGUAAGUGAGGUCGUCCCUCGAGAGAUGCCCCUCACUACCACUGGGAGGCCUCAAAGAGAAAGAGCUGAGGUUGAAUUCAGAGAAGUCAAAAGUGGCUUAUUCACACCUGGAAAAACAUCUUGCUUUUGAGGUAAAUUUGUACUGGUGAGAACAGCAAUUCUAGAGAAAAACCCUCAUGCAACACUACAAAUGAGUGUCUAUCAGGAAGAAACCAAGUAGAAGGCUUCUCAGACAGGUCUACGUCAGAAGCCAAAUGAUAGCAGCUGAGCUGCAGUAAUGAGGGGAUCGUGGCAGGAACUGGACACUUACCGUCAAUGAUCAGAGGGCACAGACUAGAGACUCAAAAGCCGCAACGGGUUUAUUGGCGAGAUACCUAAAUGCAAGCAUUUCAGGUCAAACUGGAGAACUCCGGUCCCCAAUGGAAUGGUGGUAAUUUCCACGGAAAAGUCCCCAGAGAAGCACGUUUCAGUUGCCGAAAGAGGACUAGCCUUAUGCAAAAAAGUAAGUGUUUUAAAAAGUUACAAACUUUACAUCACAUUUCAUUUUCUAAAAGCGGAAACCACCAAAUCGCUGGCGAGAUUUUUACAUAUGACCCUAAGAGAUUCAGAACUCUGAGGGCUGUUAUGACCGCACACUGGAGCAGAUGGAAUAAAAAUCAAAGGAAACUUUGGCCAGUGGGAAAAGUGCUCACUAUGACCCUAAGAAGGAAUUAGCUUUAAGUAAGCUCUUCAUGCUGCCGUCCCUCCACAUGCUGAAAGUUCUAAUCUCUCACAAUUAUUAAGAUGAUAAAACAAACAGAGUUUGAGCUACUGGAACAGAAGGUGCCGCCACAAUUUGCAAAUCUGCUGUGAAAGAACAGCUUGAAAAAACAAUAGGCAAUUUUCAGCAACUUUACAGACAAGUCCAAGUGCAGAGAUGUUCAUAUCUUGUCCCUGCUUACGUGUGUAUCCCCCGCGCUUGGCAUGGAGGAGCUCGGCGGACAGUGCGCGGCCGAGUCGGGGCAGGUGACGCGAGAACGCUCUGGGCAGAGCAAGGUGAUGACAGGGUGGGGCUGUGGCUAUAAAAUCAGUCUCUGCUCAGCUCAGCAGACAGGAAAUGACUGGCAGAAACGUGUGCGUGCUAAAUUUAUUUCAUGGAACCUCUAGUCUAAGCUGGAAAGGGACGGCUGGAAAAGAGUCGGGGCCUACAGGCACUCACCAAAUAAGAGCCCACAGGCACCGAACUGAGUGUUUAUUUAAACGACACUGACGACGGUCUUUCCUCGUGCGUGUCCUCUUUCUACCUUCAGGAAGGCUUCUGGAACUUUAGAAAACGGAAAGGUUUUCUCAAUAACUGGCUGAAUCUGUAAAACACAAGAAAGGUUGACGAGCAGGUGAGAAGAGCCGCGUGGGUCAAGUCGGGUGACGUCGGUAGUUGGUUGCGUCGCGUGCCCAGCCCGGACGGGCCUCUCUCCGGUCUGAGUGGUGCCCCCGGGUCAGGAACUCAAGGCGGGCCGGAAAGACGGCUGCCCCCGGCUUCUCUUGCCUCUUCGCGUCUCCGGUGCAGGUGUAAGUUGUCAGAAGGCAUAAGCCUACGUCUCGCAACCCUCUCCCUCUUACAAGAGGAAGAAGUACGUGCUUUUGUGUUCGCAUGCACCCGACAGACCUUGCUCUUGUGUGAAUUUCACAGCCCUGCCACCAGAGAGCAUCUCGGACUCCAAAAGUUCCCUUCUCCAGAGUUGAAAAUUCUUUUGUACCCACAAACCACGAUAAGCUCAUAAAAGUCACAGCACAUACUGUGCUCACCGUGUGCCAGGCACUCUUCUAAGUGCUCUGUAGCUUUUACUUCAUUUAAUCCCUACAACCACCUUAUGAGCAGGUGGGAAGCCCGAGUUUCAUGAAAAGAGAAAGAAGAGACAAAGGACAGCUAAGAUUCCUUCCUCCACCACAAAGCGCCCCGUGGACACUGCUGCUGGCUGCCGUCUGAACCAAGUGAAACUAAAGAACCCGGAGCACAGCGCCCAGUUUGUUCACUCCUAUCACCCAGACCCAGCUCCUAAGGACUGAGCAGCAGUCUCCUCCAUCACAGCUCUCCUUCACCACCUCUAAGGACUUAGUACACAGCAUUCAAGAGACCAAAGUCCUCAACUUCACCCCUCAAAAGGUUCCAAAUUAAUUUCGAGAAUCAAGGAGAAGCUAAAGAGAAUUAUCAAGCCAGUCAUCUUGCAAAUACAUGGCAGUGCUGGCUAGGUCGACGUGACUCACAACCUUUUCACCCUUGAGGAACCUUCUACUGCCUUUUUCCUGAGC
This is a long non-coding RNA of Lagenorhynchus albirostris (white-beaked dolphin), 3148 nucleotides long. RefSeq lists it as uncharacterized. The record is from RefSeq and is a predicted model, not a curated record. NCBI's taxonomy places the organism in Eukaryota, Metazoa, Chordata, Mammalia, Artiodactyla, Delphinidae. The transcript is spliced from 3 exons.